CGUGCGAUCUUUCCAUUCCUACUUGUUGUUUGAUAAGUAGUACGGAAUUAUCUCACAUU
Molecule: microRNA precursor, 59 nt
Filed under: Tribolium castaneum (red flour beetle)
Lineage: Eukaryota; Metazoa; Arthropoda; Insecta; Coleoptera; Tenebrionidae
Description: Tca-Mir-3841_pre stem-loop
Source: RNAcentral